AAUGAACGCUGGCGGCAUGCCUAACACAUGCAAGUCGAACGAGACCACCGGGACUUUUGGCGCAUGGGGGUGUCACGCGUCGGAACCUUCCCUUAUGUAUGGCAUACCUCUCCGACUGGGGUGCUAACGCCGGAUAAUGUCUUCUAACCAAUGAUUUAUCGCCUUAGGAUGUGCACGCGUUGGAUUAGCUUGUUGGGAGGGUGAAAGCCUACCAAGGCGACGAUGCAUAGCUGGGUAGAGAGAAUGCGCAGCCACACUGAGAGUGGGACACGGCCGGGAAUCCUACGGGAGGCAGGAAAGGGGAAUAUAGGACAAUGGGGGGAGGCAUGAAGGAGCAAUGCCGGGAGAGCGAUGAAGGCCGUAGAGUAGUAAAGCUCUUUUACCCGGGAUGAUAAUGACGGUACCGGGAGAAUAAGCUCCGGCUAACUCCGUG
RNAcentral lists this ribosomal RNA (433 nucleotides) under uncultured bacterium. Its description in RNAcentral is "partial 16S ribosomal RNA". It matches the Rfam family "Bacterial small subunit ribosomal RNA", at positions 29 to 507 of the family's 1533-position model. The record is from RNAcentral.